GAUGAAGAACGUAGCGAAAUGCGAUAAGUAGUGUGAAUUGCAGAAUUCAGUGAAUCAUCGAAUCUUUGAACGCACAUUGCGCCCUGUGGUAUUCCGCAGGGCAUGCCUGUUCGAGCGUCAUUUCAACCCUCAAGCUCUGCUUGGUGUUGGGCCACGCCCUCGCGGCCGGCCCCAAAGCCAGUGGCGGCGCCGUCCGGCUCUAAGCGUAGUACAUCUCUCGCUCUAGGGCCCGGCGGCUGCCUGCCAGAACCCCAAACUCUUAUGGUUGACCUCGGAUCAGGUAGGGAUACCCGCUGAACUUAAGCAUAUCAAUAAGCGGAGGA
RNAcentral lists this unclassified non-coding RNA (323 nucleotides) under soil metagenome. RNAcentral's name for it is "partial contains 5.8S ribosomal RNA, internal transcribed spacer 2, and large subunit ribosomal RNA". The stretch from base 1 to 120 matches the Rfam family "5.8S ribosomal RNA", at positions 35 to 154 of the family's 154-position model. The record is from RNAcentral.